Mustela erminea (ermine) is the source of this 460-nucleotide long non-coding RNA. RefSeq lists it as uncharacterized. NCBI's taxonomy places the organism in Eukaryota, Metazoa, Chordata, Mammalia, Carnivora, Mustelidae. The transcript is spliced from 3 exons. The record is from RefSeq and is a predicted model, not a curated record.
UCCUACUUUUCCAGGAAGAAAGACAGGAUGUCAAAAUGAUGGCCUUUUUCUACCUGAAAAAUUGACUACACGAGGACUUGCUAUAUUCCUUGGACUGCUAGAAAGCCACAACACCCUCUAUCUGAAGGGCUGGGUGGAAGCUACUCCCAAGAGCCCGUUGAUAUCUGCUGGCAAAGCCACCCGAGCAAGUCACGCCAAUCAUGCUCUGUUGUAAACGGUAAGGAGAACAAGCAAGAAAGCUGAAUGUUGCUGUCCUUCCCAUUGGCUUGCAAGAGCAAGAGGAGAUGAGAUGUGAGAGAAGGAGAAAGGAGUGUAUCGGUGUCAAACAAGGAGGUUUAUUGGUACGAAUUCCUGAGUCUAAAGAGCUGAACUCUAUCUUGGCCAUUGAAAUCACUGGGGAUGAUUUGAAAAGACUGAUAUCCGGACCCCUCCCCCAUAACUUAAUGUGUGUGGAGAUAGA